Molecule: transfer RNA, 70 nt
Filed under: Ctenolepisma longicaudatum (long-tailed silverfish)
Lineage: Eukaryota; Metazoa; Arthropoda; Insecta; Zygentoma; Lepismatidae
Description: tRNA-His
Source: RNAcentral
GUUUAGGUAGUUUAAUUAAAAUUCUGGUUUGUGGUACCAGGAAUGAUUGGGUAUCUUCAGUCUCUAGACC